Long non-coding RNA from Ahaetulla prasina, 804 nucleotides. RefSeq lists it as uncharacterized. The record is from RefSeq and is a predicted model, not a curated record. NCBI's taxonomy places the organism in Eukaryota, Metazoa, Chordata, Lepidosauria, Squamata, Colubridae. The transcript has 2 exons.
CAGCAGGAGGCGCGGGAGCAGAAAGAGGAUGAUGAUCUUAAACGUGCCACUGAAUUAAGUCUACAAGAGUUUAACAGUUCUCUCCUGGAUAGUCUUGGCUCUGAUGAUGACUCUGGGAAUGAGGAUUUUCUAGACAUGGAGUACUCUGAAGCGGAAGCUGAGGAACUGAAAAGAAAUGCUGAGGUGAUGAUCUGGGAAACCAGGGGAAGAACACUAGCAUGUUUAAUAGGUGGUAAAUGCUUAAGCAAGGUUUCGUGGCUUGGAUAGUUCAGUCUGGAUAAUAUGGCACACUGGAUCAUCUUUAUUUAGCUAUCUCAAUGAUGAUCAACAGUGAGAAACAGUGAAUUGUUGCUAAAGUGAAACAUCAAAUGUGUUUCCCUCAUGCCCAAACUGAAAAGCCUGGCCAUAUUUCAUUCUUCCUGAGAGUAAAAAAAAAUCUUGGUUUGUUAGAAGGUGUACAUUUCACAAGUUCAGUGCAGUUUCUGUUCUGUCAGGGAGUUCUAUAUUACUCCAUGUUUGUAAAAAUUCAUCCUUGGCUGUCCUGUUUUUCACAAUGGAAGGAUUGUAGUCAUGAGAAUUAGAAUUGGGGAAAAAACAUGAAAAUAUUCAUUGGAAACAUGAAGUGACUUUUCUCAGCUAGUUAAAUUUGUCUGGAUAAGGAUAGCUUGGCUUUGGCUAUCUGGCUACUGGCUCUACCCUAACUUCCAUUGGUGGUAUAAUAAUAAUAAUAAUAAUAAUAAUAAUAAUAAUAAUAAUAAUAAUAAUAAUAAUAAUAAUAAUAAUAAUAAUUGUUAUUGUUAUUAU